This 734-nucleotide ribosomal RNA is filed under the name uncultured bacterium. RNAcentral's name for it is "bacterial SSU rRNA". It matches the Rfam family "Bacterial small subunit ribosomal RNA", at positions 68 to 792 of the family's 1533-position model. The record is from RNAcentral.
GAAAGAUGAUCUUCGGAGAAUCGAGUAGAGUGGCGCACGGGUGAGUAACGCGUAAGUAAUCUGCCCCUUCAUCUGGAAUAACUCAGCGAAAGCUGUGCUAAUACCGGAUACGCUGGAAACAGGAAAGAUGGCCUCUUCUUGAAAGCUAUCGUGGAGGGAUGAGCUUGCGUCCCAUUAGCUUGUUGGUGGGGUAAUGGCCUACCAAGGCGACGAUGGGUAGCUGGUCUGAGAGGAUGAUCAGCCACACUGGAACUGACACACGGUCCAGACUCCUACGGGAGGCAGCAGUGAGGAAUUUUGCGCAAUGGGGGAAACCCUGACGCAGCAACGCCGCGUGAGUGAUGAAGGCUUUCGGGUCGUAAAGCUCUGUCAAGUGGGAAGAACUCCCGUGAGGUUAAUACCCUCAUGGUUUGACGGUACCACUGAAGGAAGCACCGGCUAACUCCGUGCCAGCAGCCGCGGUAAUACGGGGGGUGCAAGCGUUAUUCGGAUUUACUGGGCGUAAAGCGCGCGUAGGCGGCCGUUUAAGUCAGAUGUGAAAGCCCGGGGCUCAACCCCGGAAGUGCAUUUGAUACUAUUCGGCUUGAGUAUGGGAGAGGGAAGUGGAAUUCCUGGUGUAGAGGUGAAAUUCGUAGAUAUCAGGAGGAACACCGGUGGCGAAGGCGACUUCCUGGACCAAUACUGACGCUGAGGCGCGAAGGCGUGGGUAGCAAACAGGAUUAGAUACCCUGGUA